Nomascus leucogenys (northern white-cheeked gibbon) is the source of this 91-nucleotide long non-coding RNA. RefSeq lists it as uncharacterized. The transcript has 3 exons. The record is from RefSeq and is a predicted model, not a curated record. NCBI's taxonomy places the organism in Eukaryota, Metazoa, Chordata, Mammalia, Primates, Hylobatidae.
CUAAAAAUGGAGUGUGGAGGUGAUUUUAAAAUUCGAAAGGAGGUUGGGUGCAGUGGCUCACACCUGUAAUCCCAGCACUUUGGGAGGCUGA